UGAGGAAUAUUGGUCAAUGGACGAGAGUCUGAACCAGCCAAGUCGCGUGAAGGAAGACGGCCCUACGGGUUGUAAACUUCUUUUGUAAGGGAAUAAAUAGUCUUACGCGCUAAGACGUUGCAGGUACCUUACGAAUAAGGAUCGGCUAACUCCGUGCCAGCAGCCGCGGUAAUACGGAGGAUCCGAGCGUUAUCCGGAUUUAUUGGGUUUAAAGGGUGCGCAGGCGGCAUGUUAAGUCGGCGGUGAAAUUUUGCAGCUCAACUGUAAAACGAGCCUUCGAAACUGGCAAGCUUGAGUGUGGAUGAAGUAGGCGGAAUUUGUGGUGUAGCGGUGAAAUGCAUAGAUAUCACAAAGAACACCGAUUGCGCAGGCAGCUUACUAAACCCAUAACUGACGCUCA
Molecule: ribosomal RNA, 400 nt
Filed under: uncultured bacterium
Lineage: Bacteria
Description: bacterial SSU rRNA
Rfam family: Bacterial small subunit ribosomal RNA
Source: RNAcentral